GGCUUCCUGGUGCUUAUCACAGGCUGUGUGCUUACACUGACUAUACAGAAAAAGAAGUGGGCCUGCCUUCUCUGUUCUUACACUGACUGUACAGAAAGAGGAGACCCACCUUAUAUACACCUCUGCCCAGGCCCUAUGCCUGGUCUGAAUUGUGAAUGAGGGGACACAG
This is a small nucleolar RNA of Callithrix jacchus (white-tufted-ear marmoset), 169 nucleotides long. The record is from Ensembl. NCBI's taxonomy places the organism in Eukaryota, Metazoa, Chordata, Mammalia, Primates, Cebidae.